UACGAAGGGGGCUAGCGUUGCUCGGAAUUACUGGGCGUAAAGCGCACGUAGGCGGCUUCUUAAGUCGGUGGUGAAAUCCUGGAGCUCAACUCCAGAACUGCCUUCGAUACUGGGAGCUCGAGUCCGGGAGAGGUGAGUGGAACUGCGAGUGUAGAGGUGAAAUUCGUAGAAUAUUCGCAAGAACACCAGUGGCGAAGGCGGCUCACUGGCCCGGUACUGACGCUGAGGUGCGAAAGCGUGGGGAGCAAACAGGG
RNAcentral lists this ribosomal RNA (254 nucleotides) under uncultured bacterium. Its description in RNAcentral is "partial 16S ribosomal RNA". It matches the Rfam family "Bacterial small subunit ribosomal RNA", at positions 524 to 777 of the family's 1533-position model. The record is from RNAcentral.